RNAcentral lists this transfer RNA (77 nucleotides) under Armatimonadota bacterium. Its description in RNAcentral is "Armatimonadetes bacterium (activated sludge metagenome) tRNA-Pro". It matches the Rfam family "tRNA". Rfam says of the family: Transfer RNA (tRNA) molecules are approximately 80 nucleotides in length. Their secondary structure includes four short double-helical elements and three loops (D, anti-codon, and T loops). RNAcentral also lists the same sequence under 2 other names. The record is from RNAcentral. Lineage: Bacteria; Bacillati; Armatimonadota.
CGGGGCGUAGCGCAGUUUGGUAGCGCACCUGCUUUGGGAGCAGGGGGUCGCAGGUUCGAAUCCUGUCGCCCCGACCA